CCACCGGCAGCUGACAACCCUGCUCCGGCAGUUCCGCAGAACAACGCGCCUCCGGCUGGCGCACCGUCAAGUAACUAAUCACGAAGGCUGAACGUCAGGGCGGGCAUCUUCACGGAUGCCCGCUCUUUUUCGUUCCGUCAUUUCCGAUCCUUCGCCACCUUGAUGAAGAAGCCAUUGAUCUCCGCAUGCGUCACGGCAUGAGCCAACUCGGAGAACGAUCCCUUCUCGGCGAUCUCUCGCGCGGCGCGAAGAAAUCCUCCCCACG
Molecule: unclassified non-coding RNA, 265 nt
Filed under: Hevea brasiliensis (rubber tree)
Lineage: Eukaryota; Viridiplantae; Streptophyta; Magnoliopsida; Malpighiales; Euphorbiaceae
Source: RNAcentral